AUCCUGGCUCAGAUUGAACGCUGGCGGAAUGCUUUACACAUGCAAGUCGAACGGCAGCACGGACUUCGGUCUGGUGGCGAGUGGCGAACGGGUGAGUAAUAUAUCGGAACGUGCCCAGUCGUGGGGGAUAACGUAGUGAAAAUUACGCUAAUACCGCAUACGAUCUAAGGAUGAAAGCGGGGGAUCGCAAGACCUCGCGCGAUUGGAGCGGCCGAUAUCAGAUUAGGUAGUUGGUAGGGUAAAAGCCUACCAAGCCUGCGAUCUGUAGCUGGUCUGAGAGGACGACCAGCCACACUGGAACUGAGACACGGUCCAGACUCCUACGGGAGGCAGCAGUGGGGAAUUUUGGACAAUGGGCGAAAGCCUGAUCCAGCAAUGCCGCGUGCAGGACGAAGGCCUUCGGGUUGUAAACUGCUUUUGUACGGAACGAAAAGGUAGCUCCUAAUACGAGCUGCUGAUGACGGUACCGUAAGAAUAAGCACCGGCUAACUACGUG
RNAcentral lists this ribosomal RNA (496 nucleotides) under uncultured bacterium. Its description in RNAcentral is "bacterial SSU rRNA". It matches the Rfam family "Bacterial small subunit ribosomal RNA", at positions 16 to 507 of the family's 1533-position model. The record is from RNAcentral.